GUGGGGAAUCUUGCGCAAUGGGCGAAAGCCUGACGCAGCCAUGCCGCGUGAAUGAUGAAGGUCUUAGGAUUGUAAAAUUCUUUCACCGGGGACGAUAAUGACGGUACCCGGAGAAGAAGCCCCGGCUAACUUCGUGCCAGCAGCCGCGGUAAUACGAAGGGGGCUAGCGUUGCUCGGAAUUACUGGGCGUAAAGGGCGCGUAGGCGGACAGUUUAGUCAGAGGUGAAAGCCCAGGGCUCAACCUUGGAAUUGCCUUUGAUACUGGCUGUCUUGAGUACGGGAGAGGUGAGUGGAACUCCGAGUGUAGAGGUGAAAUUCGUAGAUAUUCGGAAGAACACCAGUGGCGAAGGCGACACACUGGCCCGUUACUGACGCUGAGGCGCGAAAGCGUGGGGAGCAAACAGGAUUAGAAACCCUUGUAGUCC
This 425-nucleotide ribosomal RNA is filed under the name uncultured bacterium. Its description in RNAcentral is "partial 16S ribosomal RNA". It matches the Rfam family "Bacterial small subunit ribosomal RNA", at positions 354 to 796 of the family's 1533-position model. The record is from RNAcentral.